GCCGACCAAGGCGACGAUGGGUAGCCGGUCUGAGAGGAUGACUGGCCACACUGGGACUGGAACACGGCCCAGACUCCUACGGGAGGCAGCAGUGGGGAAUAUUGCGCAAUGGGCGAAAGCCUGACGCAGCGACGCCGCGUGAGGGAUGAAGGUCAUCGGAUCGUAUACCUCUGUCAGGAGGGAAGAACCGCCACGGUGCUAAUCAGCCGUCGUCUGACGGUACCUCCAAAGGAAGCACCGGCUAACUCCGUGCCAGCAGCCGCGGUAAUACGGAGGGUGCGAGCGUUAAUCGGAAUCACUGGGCGUAAAGCGCACGUAGGCUGCUUGGUUAGUCAGGGGUGAAAGCCCGCGGCUCAACCGCGGAAUUGCCUUUGAUACUGCCGAGCUAGAGUCCGGGAGAGGGUAGUGGAAUUCCAGGUGUAGGAGUGAAAUCCGUAGAGAUCUGGAGGAACAUCAGUGGCGAAGGCGACUACCUGGACCGGUACUGACGCUGAGGUGGGAAAGCGUGGGGAGCAACAUGAUUAGAUACCCUGGUAGUCCACGCCGUAACGAUGAUG
RNAcentral lists this ribosomal RNA (557 nucleotides) under uncultured Desulfovibrio sp. RNAcentral's name for it is "bacterial SSU rRNA". It matches the Rfam family "Bacterial small subunit ribosomal RNA", at positions 263 to 814 of the family's 1533-position model. Lineage: Bacteria; Pseudomonadati; Thermodesulfobacteriota; Desulfovibrionia; Desulfovibrionales; Desulfovibrionaceae. The record is from RNAcentral.